UCACCUUCCACCACAAAUUUUUGCCCUCGUCAAGCCAAUUAGCUCCCCACUAGCAAUUGACACCUAGCCUUUCUACACCAUAAGCAGCACUGCCAGCAAGUGAUGAAACCACCAAAUCUUGCAUUUAGUUGCUGCAAAAUAGUAACACUUGUAUUUUAUUUAAGUUUGAAGUGAAAUCAAAAUCAGGUGAAAUGGGGACACUCUAGGGUCUGGACGAUUUCUUGGGCAACGUAAUCUAUAGGAAAAGUCACCCAAGCCACUUGAGCAAAAAACCAUCGGGGAACAUUCGUCAAGGAUCGAUCGGGCGACCUAAGCCGUAUGGCUAGGCUCCCAAGGGAGUUGGACAUGUGACAUUUUGGUGCAACUUAUGUCACCCUACAACUAGCCUUGCAUGUCCAGGUCAAUUUUUAAGAAGUUUUAGGAGCAAAUGGAAAGUGGAUGUUAAGGAUUGAAGGCCUAUGGAGGGAGAUUCCAAGAUUUGAGAAGGGAAGCUUCUUUUGGGUAUUUUGAGUUCGAUGUUUGGAAUUCUUUUUGUGGAUUUGAAGUUUGUGUAAAUAUUUAAUGUCUCUUGGUUUGACCGUUGUUCUUGUGGAGCUUAACUUGUGGAACUCGAAUAUUUGUUGUGGAAGCUAAAAAUUUGGGUUUGGAAUCUAGGUUUAACCUAACAUAGCAAGGUGAGUUUGUUUUGUGAAAACUUUAUAAAUGCCAAAAAUGUUUAUUUUGGAGUUUUAAAGUGUUUUUUUUUUUAAGAUUUAUCAAACGUUAUUGGUUAUUUGAUGAGAUUGCAUAUCUUGCACAUUUGGGUUUAUAAAAAUCUUGAGAAACACAUAUA
Cynara cardunculus var. scolymus (artichoke) is the source of this 832-nucleotide long non-coding RNA. RefSeq lists it as uncharacterized. NCBI's taxonomy places the organism in Eukaryota, Viridiplantae, Streptophyta, Magnoliopsida, Asterales, Asteraceae. The transcript is spliced from 3 exons. The record is from RefSeq and is a predicted model, not a curated record.